This 251-nucleotide ribosomal RNA is filed under the name uncultured bacterium. RNAcentral's name for it is "partial 16S ribosomal RNA". It matches the Rfam family "Bacterial small subunit ribosomal RNA", at positions 524 to 771 of the family's 1533-position model. The record is from RNAcentral.
UACGAGGGGGGCAAGCGUUGUUCGGAAUUACUGGGCGUAAAGCGUGCGCAGGCGGCUAUGCAAGACAGAUGUGAAAUCCCCGGGCUCAACCUGGGAACUGCAUUUGUGACUGCAUAGCGUAGAGUACGGUAGAGGGGGAUGGAAAUUCCGCGUGUAGCAGUGAAAUGCAUAGAUAUGCGGAGGAACACCGAUGGCGGAAGGCAAUCCCCUGGACCUGUACUGACGCUCAUGCACGAAAGCGUGGGGAGCAA